This is a non-coding RNA of Chlorocebus sabaeus (green monkey), 800 nucleotides long. Lineage: Eukaryota; Metazoa; Chordata; Mammalia; Primates; Cercopithecidae. The record is from RefSeq and is a predicted model, not a curated record.
CACUACCCCAGCUCUUUGCUGUGCUGCGUUGCUAUUUUGGUACCCAGGAAGCUGGCCGGAGAAGGGAAAGUCUGACCCCUCUUCCUGUCAACAAUGACUUUCUGCUUGGAGCUGACCCCUCUGGGGAACGAUCAGAAGGCAGAGUGACCAGAGACAAGAGGGAGGACUGGCAGCCUCCUGCGGGGAGAUGGCGGGGCUGAUGCUGGUGAGCGGAAGUGAAGGUACAGCAACCCAGGCGGCUUCAUCUCCCCGCCUGGCUACUGAAGUGCGGCCUCCAGCAAGGCUCUCCCAAGUCCCAUGGAAGACUCCAGAACAAUGGGAAGAAUGCUUGUUGCAUUUCGCCAAGUUGCUCUCAGCUUUUUCCUGCCUGUGUGCCAUCCUUCUGCAAACCACCAGCACUGGCCGCCUUGCACAGCGAUAAUCAGCCUGUCAGUCAAUAAACUGAAGAUGUUGGUAGUGCUCUGGGAUUGGUGGCCAGCAGCGAGAGCCCUGAGAGCUAUAAAUUCAAGAUGAGAAUUGAGAUGUUGCCAAGGUUUCAUAGAGUCCCUGAUUUACUAGGAAAUUGUUCCCUAGCCUCGACUGCUGGCCCUGUUAUGCAGGGGACUCUGUGUGGGCUGGGGGGAUGGUUGAAGGAAAGAAAAAAUAAAAGACCAGAAGCCAGUGUUGAGACACAGCGGAUAGGACACUCCCUACCCCAUUGCAUUUGGUCCCCUAUGGUCUGCUAUUUAACCUGUCUUAACCAUGGUCUGAUUUGCACGUGCUUGCUUAUUUUCUCCAACUGUUUUAUAGAUCCCUUGAAG